UAGAACUCCAAACAGAGCAACGGUGAAGCAUUAGGGGAAAACUGAAAAUAGACUGCUCGGUGAAAAUUGUCUUCCAUACAUCAGGAAAUGGUCCUCAGGUGGGCCUUCCACACCCAGAACCGUGCUGACUCAAUUCAGCUGGGUGCCACAAGUUCACCACCAGCUGUCA
This 169-nucleotide long non-coding RNA is filed under the name Chinchilla lanigera (long-tailed chinchilla). Its description in RNAcentral is "lncRNA (ENSCLAG00000024516.1)". The record is from RNAcentral. Lineage: Eukaryota; Metazoa; Chordata; Mammalia; Rodentia; Chinchillidae.